UUCAUUCAAACACUUUUUGCAUUCAACCAAUUUUUGUUCAACUCCCCUACGAAUAGCGAACCUAUACAACCUAUAUAAUGUAUAGGUUCGCUACUACCUACGAACGAGCGAAGGCAGGUAGCUCAUUUCAGUUUAAGAAGCCUUUUUCAUUCGCAUUCGUCCGGUUGACUCGCCUUGAAUUUCACUCUAUUUUAGUAAUAGUCCGUAGUGUUUUAGCAUUUAGUGAAAAGUCAUACCAUUUGCAAAACCAAUCAACGGCCUACUGUAAAAGUUAUAGCAAAUAACUGCCUUUAUAUUUUGGCUAAAAAACACCGAUCAAAAUGUGUAAGUGCCUCGCGGGAAGUGUUGUCUGCUGUUGCUGCCAGUGCGCGAUGAGCGUUUUCAUCUCGCUACUGUUCGUGGGUGUUUUACUGGCGGCGGCAAUCGCAGCUGGAAUCUAUUUCGGAGUGUUGAAUGUCGACGACAAGGCUCCCGAGCUGUCGGAGUUCGUGCACAAAACCGGUGACUCAAUCAAGGACGCCGUUAAGGAUAAGCUCAACUAGAUGAGAAGCGUAAACCUCAGCGCGCUGUGCCACAACAGGAGACAUUUUGAAUCUCUACCAGCUUAUAAGUGUUUUUAGAUCUGACUUUGUAUACUUUUACAUUACUGUACCAAGCUACGAUGUCUUGCAUUUUUAAGUAUUUUUAACUACAGAUAAGAACAAUAUGUUGUUAGCUGGCAAAUUCCAACAUGAACACAACAAACAUCGCCUAAUGCAAACCAGUGCUUUAUGGUUCCAAUCUAUGUUGACAUAGUACAACUGACCAAUGAAAAUAAGAAACCAAAAUAACCUAACGAAAAGCUACAACUAACAAUAACAGCUAAAGCAACAAAAAAUGUCGAUCUUAUUUCUAACCGUUUGUGUAAAUAUACUUAUUUAUAUCGCUUGAUA
Long non-coding RNA from Wyeomyia smithii (pitcher-plant mosquito), 932 nucleotides. RefSeq lists it as uncharacterized. The transcript has 2 exons. The record is from RefSeq and is a predicted model, not a curated record. NCBI's taxonomy places the organism in Eukaryota, Metazoa, Arthropoda, Insecta, Diptera, Culicidae.